Molecule: long non-coding RNA, 2703 nt
Organism: Cyprinus carpio carpio
Lineage: Eukaryota; Metazoa; Chordata; Actinopteri; Cypriniformes; Cyprinidae
Source: Ensembl
AUAAUUUUGACUUUGUUUGUCACUUUUCUUUUUUUGUUAUGAUUUACCAGAGCAUUAUUAUUAUAUAUUUUUUUCCCCUUAUAGUCACCAUAACUACUUUCUGUUGGUCAGUGUAUUGUCCCAGAAAUAAUUGUGGUAGUAUUGUCAUUUUAAGACCAUUUUAUGCAACUACAUAUAUAAUGAUAAUAUAACAGCAUAAUAAUGCAAGUAGUGCGUGCAUAAUAUUGCAUGCACAAGAUUCUGCAAAAGACAGUCAAACACAUCCAUCUAAUGCAUGUUUACAUAGAAAAACAAUAACAACAUAAAAUUGAAAAUACAGCACAAGAAGAAUUCAAAAAUGCAUUCUCUCCUUUGUGAAACUCCCUUUACACUAGCUGUGAGAGAGCACCAUUUUGCAUUGUUACAUUCACAUAUGUACCAGAACUGUGAAUUGCGGCUUUGAGUCGAUUCAGAUUUCCAUCCUGGAAUAAUAAAUGUAAUACGUUUUUUUUUGUUUGUUUGUUUUUGUUUUUUUGUAGUACCAAGUCUUUUAUAAACACAUGGUGCAGUUUUGUGAUAUAUUAUUAUGCUAUGAAAGCUCAUUACUGCCUUAGGCCUGUCACAGUAAUCCAUAUAUUGAGUUAUUGCACAAUAUAUGUAAAAUGUGGACAGGUGAAAAGAAGGCAUCAUUUGAGGCCCUGUAGUGUUUUCCUUACAAAGCCAGACUCCUAUUGUUGCUAUUGUUAUCAUUAUUAUUAUUAGUAGUAUUAUUAUAUAUUGUGUUAUACAUUUUUUUUACAGAAAGUCGAAGAGGAUCAUGUGGAAUAUGCACCAAUCAAAAUCAGAAGAUGAUCAAACUUUAAUGUUGUUCUAAGUACUAGACUAUUGUCUGAUCAUUGGGAACCUCCUGCAACGACCUCAGACACUGUGAUCUAUGGAUGAGCAUUUUCACUGCAGCUUUUCAUGUUUGCAAAACAUAGAUGCAAACUAUCCAUCAAAAGGUGAUAAAGUAAACUCUGCUGUGGUACUGAUUAUUUAUAUCUGUACAGAAAUGUGGUUUGAUCUGUGCAUGAGAAUGUGUCUGCUGCUGGAUGCUUGCAUUUGAUGUCAGUUUGUUAGUGUGUCUGAGGUGUCAACAAUACGUCUGUGUGAGCGUGUGAUGGUGAGAGUGUGUGUGUCUGAGGUGUCAAUAGUGUGACGGUGUGAGUGUGUCUGAGGUGUCAGUCUGUGUGAUCAGCAUGUCGUUGCAAGGAUUUUUUCAUUUAUGCUCACAUGAAACCUUUGCCUACUUUACUACAAAAUACUAAAAUCAGUAAAAUGGAUUUAUUUUUAUCAUUUUCAAAUUUUCCUUGAGUUUUUUUCAACCCUCAUUCCGAACCUUUCUCAGAAAAAGCCUGUUUUUAUGGGGCGGGUCCUUUAAGGCUUCUCAGUAAUCGGCCGCUGUUAUUAUUGGUUAACAUCAAACAGUAUCAACGCCCCCUCGCUACUGCAUGUUUUGAGUGUUUUGAUAAAGCGAAUGUUCUUUUACUCAGUUUUCCUGAUUGUCGACAGACUCGAGCGUGUGGACUGUGUCAGAAAGUGAAUGCGCAUCUCUAUACUGUAUCCAGUGUAGACAAGAUGGCAGCAGUGACUGCAAUUUCGGUUUGCUUUUGACGCGAUGUGACACUCACAUUCAGUGUGAUAGCGUUAGUGACUGAAUGCCGGUGGGCGGGGCCUAGGUUGAGGUCUUGCUCUUGGGGCGGUGUUUAUUCAAAUCUUUGUGCCCGGAUGACAUCACCUUUUCCCACUGUAUCCAAAGCGACGUGACAUACAGCCAAGUAUGGUGACCCAUACUCAGAAUUGGUGCUCUGCAUUUAACCCAUCCAAAGUGCACACACACAGCAGUGAACACACACACACCAUAAACACACAUCCGGAGCAGUGGCCAGCUAUUUAUGCUGCAGUGGCCAUCUAUUUAUGCUGCGGCGCCCGGGGAGCAGUUGGGGGUUCAGCUCCUAGCUCAGGGGCACCUCAGUCGUGGUAUUGCCGGCCUGAGACUCGAACCCACAACCUUAGGGUUAGGAGUCAAACUCUCUAACCACUAGGCCACGACUUCCCAGCUUGAUUAGAGCUUGAUUAAAUAAAUGCUUUGUUAAUAAUGAGGAGGAUGUUUAAGCUAUGAAGCUUGCAGGAUGUUUAAAUGGUACAGAUACCUCUUAUAAGAAAAAAGAUCAAGGCAAUUUUGAUUUCUCAUGUCAUGACUCCUUUAGUGCUGAUUUUUGACAAAAGGGUCCCAAUCAAACAGUGAUAUUCAGUGUGAAAAAAAAUCAAAUAUUAUAUACUUUGUGUGCAUGAUGAUCUCAUACAAGUGAUCCGGCAGUACUACACUCUCAGAAAAAAAGGUACAAAAGCGGUCAUGUGCAGUACCUUUUCAAGUACCUUAAAGGUGCAUUUAAGUACCUAAAUGGGCAAAAAGGUGAUGCACCAGCUUACCUUUUUUUCUGAGUGUAGUUUCAGUAGUUUCAGUAGUUUCAAAUCAUGCUAAGCAGAAUACAUCAUCUUGAGUGUUUUUUUUGUUUGUUUUUUUUUUUAAUAAAGGUAUAUCCUGCUCUUUCUGCCAGUGUCUGGGUCAUUUAAUGAAUAAAUUCAAUGUAUAAUUUACAAUUUAUGAUUUGUUCUUGAUGGUGGUAAAUCAUUUCAUUUAUUUGCAACAGCUUUGUUGAGAAACUAACAAAGCAGUAUAUA